GGGAAUUUAGCUCAAUUUUGGGAGAGUGACGGUCUUAGAACUGUAGGGUAUGGGUUCAAGUCCCAUAAUUCCCA
This 74-nucleotide transfer RNA is filed under the name Caudoviricetes sp. RNAcentral describes it as "tRNA-OTHER". It matches the Rfam family "tRNA". Rfam says of the family: Transfer RNA (tRNA) molecules are approximately 80 nucleotides in length. Their secondary structure includes four short double-helical elements and three loops (D, anti-codon, and T loops). Further hydrogen bonds mediate the characteristic L-shaped molecular structure. tRNAs have two regions of fundamental functional importance: the anti-codon, which is responsible for specific mRNA codon recognition, and the 3' end, to which the tRNAs corresponding amino acid is attached (by aminoacyl-tRNA synthetases). tRNAs cope with the degeneracy of the genetic code in two manners: having more than one tRNA (with a specific anti-codon) for a particular amino acid; and 'wobble' base-pairing, i.e. permitting non-standard base-pairing at the 3rd anti-codon position. The record is from RNAcentral. Lineage: Duplodnaviria; Heunggongvirae; Uroviricota; Caudoviricetes.